UGGCCAUGCUGUGAGGUCACUGAGGAAGCCUCUGGAGGAGGCAGCCCACAGGAGGAGGAACGAGGCCUCCCACCAACAGCCAUGUAAGCAUACCAUCUUGGAUGUGGUUCCUCUAGCCUCAGUCAAGUCUUCAGAUGCCUGCAACCCCUGCCAACAUCCUCCCUGCAACUUGAUGAGUGAUCACCCAGCUAAGCCACUGCUGGAUUUGUAACCCACAGAAACUGGGAGGGCAUCGCAUGGCCUCGACGGGGAUUACCCAUAGGAGAGAUGAGUUCUGCUGAGAACGCCUGAGUGAGCAUGGAGCAGAGCUCCGUGAGCACCUGCACCCAGCUGGGAGAAACCAGGAGCUCAUGAAGUGUCUGAGACAUUGGGUUAAAGCACACACAUUUAAAGGGACGAGGAAAAGAAAAGAGACGCAG
Gorilla gorilla gorilla (western lowland gorilla) is the source of this 419-nucleotide long non-coding RNA. RefSeq lists it as uncharacterized. The record is from RefSeq and is a predicted model, not a curated record. Lineage: Eukaryota; Metazoa; Chordata; Mammalia; Primates; Hominidae. The transcript has 3 exons.